AGCGAACGCUGGCGGCAGGCUUAACACAUGCAAGUCGAGCGGGCCCUUCGGGGUCAGCGGCAGACGGGUGAGUAACACGUGGGAACGUACCCUUCGGUUCGGAAUAACUCAGGGAAACUUGAGCUAAUACCGGAUACGCCCUUUGGGGGAAAGGUUUACUGCCGAAGGAUCGGCCCGCGUCUGAUUAGCUAGUUGGUGGGGUAAUGGCCCACCAAGGCGACGAUCAGUAGCUGGUCUGAGAGGAUGANCAGCCACACUGGGACUGAGACACGGCCCAGACUCCUACGGGAGGCAGCAGUGGGGAAUAUUGGACAAUGGGCGCAAGCCUGAUCCAGCCAUGCCGCGUGAGUGAUGAAGGCCUUUAGGGUUGUAAAGCUCUUUCGCUCGCGACGAUAAUGACGGUAGCGAGAGAAGAAGCCCCCGGCUAACUUCGUGCCAGCAGCCGCCGCU
RNAcentral lists this ribosomal RNA (450 nucleotides) under uncultured bacterium. RNAcentral describes it as "bacterial SSU rRNA". It matches the Rfam family "Bacterial small subunit ribosomal RNA", at positions 29 to 522 of the family's 1533-position model. The record is from RNAcentral.